Molecule: ribosomal RNA, 1316 nt
Filed under: Limosilactobacillus fermentum
Lineage: Bacteria; Bacillati; Bacillota; Bacilli; Lactobacillales; Lactobacillaceae
Description: bacterial SSU rRNA
Rfam family: Bacterial small subunit ribosomal RNA
Source: RNAcentral
UUUUGAUUUUGGUCGCCAACGAGUGGCGGACGGGUGAGUAACACGUAGGUAACCUGCCCAGAAGCGGGGGACAACAUUUGGAAACAGAUGCUAAUACCGCAUAACAGCGUUGUUCGCAUGAACAACGCUUAAAAGAUGGCUUCUCGCUAUCACUUCUGGAUGGACCUGCGGUGCAUUAGCUUGUUGGUGGGGUAACGGCCUACCAAGGCGAUGAUGCAUAGCCGAGUUGAGAGACUGAUCGGCCACAAUGGGACUGAGACACGGCCCAUACUCCUACGGGAGGCAGCAGUAGGGAAUCUUCCACAAUGGGCGCAAGCCUGAUGGAGCAACACCGCGUGAAUGAAGAAGGGUUUCGGCUCGUAAAGCUCUGUUGUUAAAGAAGAACACGUAUGAGAGUAACUGUUCAUACGUUGACGGUAUUUAACCAGAAAGUCACGGCUAACUACGUGCCAGCAGCCGCGGUAAUACGUAGGUGGCAAGCGUUAUCCGGAUUUAUUGGGCGUAAAGAGAGUGCAGGCGGUUUUCUAAGUCUGAUGUGAAAGCCUUCGGCUUAACCGGAGAAGUGCAUCGGAAACUGGAUAACUUGAGUGCAGAAGAGGGUAGUGGAACUCCAUGUGUAGCGGUGGAAUGCGUAGAUAUAUGGAAGAACACCAGUGGCGAAGGCGGCUACCUGGUCUGCAACUGACGCUGAGACUCGAAAGCAUGGGUAGCGAACAGGAUUAGAUACCCUGGUAGUCCAUGCCGUAAACGAUGAGUGCUAGGUGUUGGAGGGUUUCCGCCCUUCAGUGCCGGAGCUAACGCAUUAAGCACUCCGCCUGGGGAGUACGACCGCAAGGUUGAAACUCAAAGGAAUUGACGGGGGGCCCGCACAAGCGGUGGAGCAUGUGGUUUAAUUCGAAGCUACGCGAAGAACCUUACCAGGUCUUGACAUCUUGCGCCAACCCUAAAAAAAAGGGCGUUUUCCUUCGGGAACGCAAUGACAGGUGGUGCAUGGUCGUCGUCAGCUCGUGUCGUGAGAUGUUGGGUUAAGUCCCGCAACGAGCGCAACCCUUGUUACUAGUUGCCAGCAUUAAGUUGGGCACUCUAGUGAGACUGCCGGUGACAAACCGGAGGAAGGUGGGGACGACGUCAGAUCAUCAUGCCCCUUAUGACCUGGGCUACACACGUGCUACAAUGGACGGUACAACGAGUCGCGAACUCGCGAGGGCAAGCAAAUCUCUUAAAACCGUUCUCAGUUCGGACUGCAGGCUGCAACUCGCCUGCACGAAGUCGGAAUCGCUAGUAAUCGCGGAUCAGCAUGCCGCGGUGAAUACGUU